RNAcentral lists this ribosomal RNA (216 nucleotides) under Glomeromycotina sp. RNAcentral's name for it is "partial small subunit ribosomal RNA". The stretch from base 92 to 216 matches the Rfam family "Eukaryotic small subunit ribosomal RNA", at positions 738 to 864 of the family's 1831-position model. Lineage: Eukaryota; Fungi; Glomeromycota. The record is from RNAcentral.
GGGUCAGUAGGUUGGUCGUGCCACCGGUACGUACUGGUCUCACUGACUCCUCCUUCCUGAAGAACCGUAAUGCCAUUAAUUUGGUGUCGCGGGGAAACAGGACUGUUACUUUGAAAAAAUUAGAGUGUUUAAAGCAAGCUAACGCUUGAAUACAUUAGCAUGGAAUAAUGAAAUAGGACGAUCGAUCCUAUUUUGUUGGUUUCUAGGAUUGACGUA